UCUACACAUGCAAGUCGAACGAUGAACCACUUCGGUGGGGAUUAUUGGCGAACGGGUGAGUAACACGUGGGCAAUCUGCCCUGCACUCUGGGACAAGCCCUGGAAACGGGGUCUAAUACCGGAUACUGACCCUCGCAGGCAUCUGCGAGGUUCGAAAGCUCCCGCGGCGCAUGAUGAGCCCGCGGCCUAUCAGCUUGUUGGUGAGGUAAUGGGUCACCAAGGCGACAACGGGUAACCGGCCUGAGAGGGCGACCGGCCACACUGGGACUGAGACACGGCCCACACUCCUACGGGAGGCAGCAGGGGGGAAUAUUGCACAAUGGGCGAAAGCCUGAUGCAUCGACCCCCCGUGAGGGAUGACGGCCUUCGGGUUGUAAACCUCUUUCAACAGGGAAGAAGCGAAAGUGACGGUACCUGCAUAAAAAGCGCCGGCUAACUACGUGCCAGCAGCCGCGGUAAUACAUACGGCGCAAGCGUUGUCCGGAAUUAUUGGGCGUAAAGAGCUCGUAGGCGGCUUGUCACGUCGGUUGUGAAAGCCCGGGGCUUAACCCCGGGUCUGCAGUCGAUACGGGCAGGCUAGAGUUCGGUAUGGGAGAUCGGAAUUCCUGGUGUAGCGGAGAAAUGCGCAGAUAUCAGGAGAAACACCGGUGGCGAAGGCGGAUCUCUGAGCCCAUACUGACACUGAGGAGC
Molecule: ribosomal RNA, 690 nt
Filed under: Streptomyces sp.
Lineage: Bacteria; Bacillati; Actinomycetota; Actinomycetes; Kitasatosporales; Streptomycetaceae
Description: bacterial SSU rRNA
Rfam family: Bacterial small subunit ribosomal RNA
Source: RNAcentral